This 220-nucleotide ribosomal RNA is filed under the name uncultured bacterium. RNAcentral describes it as "partial 16S ribosomal RNA". It matches the Rfam family "Bacterial small subunit ribosomal RNA", at positions 524 to 740 of the family's 1533-position model. The record is from RNAcentral.
UACGUAGGGGGCAAGCGUUGUCCGGAAUCAUUGGGCGUAAAGCGCGUGUAGGCGGCUCGAUAAGUCUGCUGUGAAAGUCCAAGGCUCAACCUUGGGAUGCCGGUGGAUACUGUCGAGCUCGAGUCCGGGAAGAGGAGUGUGGAAUUUCCUGGUGUAGCGGUGAAAUGCGCAGAUAUCAGGAGGAACACCAAUGGCGAAGGCAGCACUCUGGGGACGUGAC